AUGAAGAACGUAGCGAAAUGCGAUACUUGGUGUGAAUUGCAGAAUCCCGUGAACCAUCGAGUCUUUGAACGCAAGUUGCGCCCGAAGCCAUUAGGCCGAGGGCACGCCUGCCUGGGCGUCACACGUCGUUGCCCCCCCCAUCUACUCCUUCGGGAUUGCGGGGGGCGGAUGAUGGCCUCCCGUGCGCCUCGCCGCGCGGUUGGCAUAAAUGCCAAGUCCUCGGCGACGCACGCCACGACAAUCGGUGGUUGCGAAACCUCGGUUGCCCGUCGUGUGCGGUCGUCGCGCAUCGAGGGCUCGAAAAAAUUGCCGGGUUUCGACUCGGCUUUCAACGCGACCCCAGGUCAGGCGGGGUUACCCGCUGAAUUUAAGCAUAUCAAUAAGCGGAGGA
Molecule: unclassified non-coding RNA, 391 nt
Filed under: soil metagenome
Description: partial contains 5.8S ribosomal RNA, internal transcribed spacer 2, and large subunit ribosomal RNA
Rfam family: 5.8S ribosomal RNA (bases 1-121)
Source: RNAcentral